AGCAGCCGCGGUAAUUCCAGCUCCAAUAGCGUAUAUUAAAGUUGUUGCAGUUAAAAAGCUCGUAGUUGAAUUUCGGGAUCAUCAGGUUGGUCGUGCCUUUGGUAUGUACUUUCCUCGAUGGUUCCUCCUUCUUGAAGAUCCGUAAUGCCAUUAAUUUGGUGUUGCGGGGAAUCAGGACUGUUACUUUGAAAAAAUUAGAGUGUUUAAAGCAGGCAAUCGCUUGAAUACAUUAGCAUGGAAUAAUGAAAUAGGACGUUCGAUCCUAUUUUGUUGGUUUCUAGGAUUGACGUAAUGAUUAAUAGGGAUAGUUGGGGGCAUUAGUAUUCAAUUGUCAGAGGUGAAAUUCUUGGAUUUAUUGAAGACUAACUACUGCGAAAGCAUUUGCCAAGGAUGUUUUCACUAAUCAAGAACGAAAGUUAGGGGAUCGAAGACGAUCAGAUACCGUCGUAGUCUUAACCAUGAACUAUGCCGACUAGGGAUCGGAUGAUGUUAAUUUUUUAAUGA
Molecule: ribosomal RNA, 504 nt
Filed under: uncultured Glomeraceae
Lineage: Eukaryota; Fungi; Glomeromycota; Glomeromycetes; Glomerales; Glomeraceae
Description: SSU rRNA
Rfam family: Eukaryotic small subunit ribosomal RNA
Source: RNAcentral